Molecule: transfer RNA, 77 nt
Filed under: compost metagenome
Description: tRNA-Met
Rfam family: tRNA
About the family: Transfer RNA (tRNA) molecules are approximately 80 nucleotides in length. Their secondary structure includes four short double-helical elements and three loops (D, anti-codon, and T loops).
Source: RNAcentral
GGGGCCUGUAGCUCAAUGGUUGGAGCCGUCGGCUCAUAACAGAUUGGUUGCAGGUUCGAGUCCCGCAGGGCCCACCA